CCUCAGUCCCACCGAAAGUGGUGCGUAUUUCUUUUUGGGUUGUCCCACCGAAAGUGGUGCAUUUCCUUUUUUGGUAAUAAUUUUACACUACAAACAAUGUGGCCUCACACACAUUUACACACCUUUACACUACACACUACAAGAAAACACGCGUUUAACGACCGAAAUUAACGACCGAAAAUUUCGGUCGUUAAUUUUGCGGCCUUAACGACCGAUUUACGACCGUUUAACGACCGAUUUUAUUUUU
Molecule: long non-coding RNA, 247 nt
Filed under: Salvia miltiorrhiza (redroot sage)
Lineage: Eukaryota; Viridiplantae; Streptophyta; Magnoliopsida; Lamiales; Lamiaceae
Description: long non-coding RNA (SMIL_LNC011118)
Source: RNAcentral